CUUUCAGUUUGUCGAGAACGUUUGAACUCAGAGCAGCGCCCCAAAAAAGUUGAGCGCUUUCAGCCAGCGGGACGCAGUUUGGGCCAAGCUUUCUGGCCAUCGUGCGUGCAGCAGGCUAACGCCAGGAAAAAAAAAAAACGGAAAAAAAGCAAAAUUGUAAAUUCAAAUUUGGCCAUAAAGCGAGCUAAAGUUAAGCUAAAAAGUAAAAAAAAAAAAGCCAAAAAUCAGAUGAGAAAAUGUACACGGAGUGUCUGAAAUAGUGCGGAGAAAAAUGUGCGGCUAGCGGAUCGGAGGAGAAGGAGAAAGAGCAAGGAGGAGGCGGAAUCUAGUUGCUGCACAUGAACACAACCAGAGCAUAGACAGACACAGGAAACUUUUCAUAUCCCCGCAGUGAACAAUAAAAGCAAAAGUGGCAGCAGCUCCAAACAAAAAUGACAGCAAUAAGUUUAAGCAAUAAAACACAGCUUGCCGGGAACUGCGAAAAUGCAGCCUGAAGACAAGAAACAUAAGCAGCGGGCUAAAGCUUUAAAAUAGGAGUUAAUCGACAUAGCUCCUACCCCAUCCCAAAAAACCAAAAAAGAAAAUCCCUUUAAUCCCCCAAAUCAACUGCCAAAUCAUAUAUAAAAAAAUAUUAAAUUAAAUAAAAGUAAAGAGAAGCUGCUGAAAGGAGCGAAAAGGGAGGAGAAUCUCUAGAGUUAACCGGGACACUGAAACAUUCCACCCCAUAGCAUGGCCUCGGUCGCCGCUUGGCUGCCCUUCGCCCGGGCGGCGGCCAUCGGGUGGGUGCCGAUAGCCACCCACCCACUGCCACCGCCGCCAAUGCCCAAGGAUCGCCGCAAAACGGACGACGAGAAGCUCCUCAUCAACGUCUCCGGCCGCCGCUUCGAAACGUGGCGGAAUACUCUGGAGAAAUAUCCAGAUACUCUUCUAGGUUCCAAUGAAAGAGAGUUCUUCUACGAUGAGGACUGCAAAGAGUACUUCUUCGACCGGGACCCGGACAUCUUCCGGCACAUAUUAAACUAUUACCGGACAGGAAAGCUGCACUAUCCCAAGCACGAAUGCCUCACCAGCUACGACGAGGAGUUAGCCUUCUUCGGCAUCAUGCCGGACGUGAUCGGGGACUGUUGCUACGAGGACUACAGGGACCGGAAGCGGGAGAACGCUGAGAGGCUGAUGGACGACAAGCUGUCGGAGAACGGGGAUCAGAAUCUGCAACAGCUAACCAAUAUCCGGCAGAAGAUGUGGCGGGCAUUCGAGAAUCCGCACACGUCCACAAGUGCUUUGGUGUUCUACUACGUGACGGGCUUCUUCAUCGCCGUCUCUGUGAUGGCCAACGUGGUGGAGACAGUGCCCUGCGGCCAUCGUCCUGGCAGGGCGGGUACCCUGCCUUGCGGCGAGCGCUACAAGAUCGUCUUCUUCUGCCUGGACACAGCCUGUGUGAUGAUCUUCACGGCGGAGUAUCUGCUCCGCCUGUUCGCCGCCCCCGAUCGCUGCAAGUUUGUACGUUCGGUGAUGAGUAUCAUCGAUGUGGUGGCUAUUAUGCCCUACUACAUCGGCCUGGGCAUCACCGACAACGACGACGUCAGUGGCGCCUUCGUCACGCUCCGCGUGUUCCGAGUGUUCCGUAUCUUCAAGUUCUCCCGCCACUCGCAGGGACUGCGGAUCCUCGGCUACACGCUCAAGUCCUGCGCCAGUGAGCUGGGCUUCCUGGUCUUCUCGCUGGCCAUGGCCAUCAUCAUAUUUGCCACCGUAAUGUUCUACGCCGAGAAGAACGUCAACGGCACCAACUUCACAUCGAUUCCGGCGGCCUUUUGGUACACCAUUGUCACCAUGACCACGUUGGGCUACGGCGACAUGGUGCCAGAGACAAUAGCUGGCAAAAUUGUGGGCGGCGUCUGCUCGCUCAGCGGUGUGCUGGUCAUCGCCUUACCUGUACCUGUUAUCGUAUCGAACUUUAGUAGAAUCUAUCACCAGAACCAGCGGGCGGACAAGCGCAAGGCGCAGCGGAAAGCUCGCUUGGCGCGCAUCCGGAUUGCCAAGGCCUCGUCCGGAGCCGCUUUUGUUAGCAAGAAGAAGGCCGCCGAGGCCCGGUGGGCUGCCCAGGAGUCCGGCAUCGAGCUGGAUGACAACUAUCGGGACGAGGACAUUUUCGAGCUGCAGCACCAUCACUUGCUGCGAUGUCUGGAGAAGACAACGAUGUAGCAACAUUUGAACAUCUCAGAUAUAGUAAGAUAUUGUAAGGUUUGCCACAAGCUCAUUAGGCAAGCAAUGACAACCAUAACAACAACAUCAACAACAGCAACAACAAUAGCAACAGCAACCACACCAACAACAGCAGCAGCGACACCAAAAUAUAGAACAAAAGCCAUGUCAAAGGAUAUAUUUUUAAGAGUUUUCAAUCUGUCGUCGCGUCUUCUCAUUAUUCAAAAUCGAAAAUUGCGAAAAGCGUUUAGAAAACAGCAAACAAAAAAACUGAACUGAACUGAACUGAAAUGCAAAAAUAUUCAGCAUCCUUAGUAUGUGAACUUUGUUUUGUGUUUACAAAUUUUUAUAAUUUUCAAUUUCUUGUGUUUUGGGGCGAUUUUGUUUCCGAUCUGUUUUCUGUACAUUUAUUGUAUCUUCUGUAUACGUGUGUCGGAUUUGUUGUAUUACGUUCUAAGUUGUAUGUUCUAAGUUCACCAUUUGUGUCAUGUUUUUCACACGACCUGGUUAUCAUCUAGCUUUGGAAAUCGAGCAAAUAUAAAUACAUACAUAUAGCUAUAUGAAACAGAAAAAAAUUGAAAUAAAAAAAGCAAUGAAUAUCAAUGUCUAUGCUCUGAUAAACGAAUAUAAAUUCGCCAAAGAUCGAGAAUUUGUCGAGUUGGAAAUUCCGUAUAACGGUCAGCCGAAGCGGCCGGGCUCUCCGUCGCCGAUGGCCAGUCCCGC
RNAcentral lists this unclassified non-coding RNA (2925 nucleotides) under Drosophila ananassae. Its description in RNAcentral is "GF10727". The stretch from base 1840 to 1953 matches the Rfam family "Potassium channel RNA editing signal". Lineage: Eukaryota; Metazoa; Arthropoda; Insecta; Diptera; Drosophilidae. The record is from RNAcentral.